Columba livia (rock pigeon) is the source of this 534-nucleotide long non-coding RNA. RefSeq lists it as uncharacterized. The record is from RefSeq and is a predicted model, not a curated record. The transcript has 2 exons. NCBI's taxonomy places the organism in Eukaryota, Metazoa, Chordata, Aves, Columbiformes, Columbidae.
ACCGCCCCCCUGCACAGGCAAUAAACACCGCCCCCCCCCACACCUCUGCUCCCCGGAACAGGGCUCGCUCGGCUGCCCGGGACAUGGGGGCUCACCGGGACAUGGAGGCUCACCGGGGAUCACCGGGACAGCAAGUCUCCCACCACCCGCUUUAACAGGUUCACACAGAAAAAAAACCUGCACAGUAGGAAAAACUUCUCUGCGCAGCAGCUCUGCGGACACUCCCCAAGCCAGCCUGUGCAACUUCUGUGCACGUUUAUAAACUGGAAUUGGAAAAAUCAGGAGAUGGGCACUCUCUCCCUAUAUAAAGCUCAGCUCCACAGAGGAACCGCGGCUUCCUGACAUGACCUAUAGUGGAAGAGGAGGCUUUGGAAAGACCUGGGGAGUUUUCUGCCUCUCAGCUGGAGCCACAGGCAAUUCUCUCCUCUUUAAACUGUCCGUCACUAUUCAAGCUGAAUGAUAAUGUUUCACUUAGACGCAAAAAUUAGCCAAAACGGCAAAGUUGUGGCCCCAAUGAAAUCACUGUUUACUUCA